AAACCGGAGCUAAUACCGGAUAAUAUAUUGAACCGCAUGGUUCAAUAGUGAAAGUACGGUUUUGCUGUCACUUAUAGAUGGAUCCGCGCCGCAUUAGCUAGUUGGUAAGGUAACGGCUUACCAAGGCAACGAUGCGUAGCCGACCUGAGAGGGUGGUCGGCCACACUGGAACUGAGACACGGUCCAG
RNAcentral lists this ribosomal RNA (187 nucleotides) under uncultured Staphylococcus sp. RNAcentral's name for it is "partial 16S ribosomal RNA". It matches the Rfam family "Bacterial small subunit ribosomal RNA", at positions 154 to 334 of the family's 1533-position model. Lineage: Bacteria; Bacillati; Bacillota; Bacilli; Caryophanales; Staphylococcaceae. The record is from RNAcentral.